This is a non-coding RNA of Pelobates cultripes (western spadefoot toad), 136 nucleotides long. Lineage: Eukaryota; Metazoa; Chordata; Amphibia; Anura; Pelobatidae. The record is from the annotation of a GenBank genome assembly.
CUCACGCUAAUUAUUGGUGAGGGCGGCCAAUACAAAUGUGUGUGUGUGUGUGUGUGUGUGUGUGUGUAUGUAUAUAUAUAUAUAUAUAUAUAUAUAUAUAUUUGUAUUGGCCACCCUCACCAAUAAUUAGUGUGAG